RNAcentral lists this ribosomal RNA (247 nucleotides) under uncultured bacterium. RNAcentral's name for it is "partial 16S ribosomal RNA". It matches the Rfam family "Bacterial small subunit ribosomal RNA", at positions 523 to 769 of the family's 1533-position model. The record is from RNAcentral.
AUACGAAGGGGGCUAGCGUUGUUCGGAAUUACUGGGCGUAAAGGGCGCGUAGGCGGCCCGAUCAGUCAGAAGUGAAAGCCCCGGGCUCAACCUGGGAACUGCUUUUGAUACUGUCGGGCUUGAGUUUCGGAGAGGAUGGUGGAAUUCCCAGUGUAGAGGUGAAAUUCGUAGAUAUUGGGAAGAACACCGGUGGCGAAGGCGGCCAUCUGGACGAACACUGACGCUGAGGCGCGAAAGCGUGGGGAGC